GAUGAACGCUGGCGGCGUGCUUAACACAUGCCAGUCGAACGGGAAACCUUUUAUUGAAGCUUCGGCAGAUUUAGCUGGUUUCUAGUGGCGGACGGGUGAGUAACGCGUGGGUAACCUGCCUUAUACAGGGGGAUAACAGUCAGAAAUGGCUGCUAAUACCGCAUAAGCGCACAGAGCUGCAUGGCUCAGUGUGAAAAACUCCGGUGGUAUAAGAUGGACCCGCGUUGGAUUAGCUGGUUGGUGGGGUAACGGCCCACCAAGGCGACGAUCCAUAGCCGGCCUGAGAGGGUGAACGGCCACAUUGGGACUGAGACACGGCCCAGACUCCUACGGGAGGCAGCAGUGGGGAAUAUUGCACAAUGGGGGAAACCCUGAUGCAGCGACGCCGCGUGAAGGAAGAAGUAUCUCGGUAUGUAAACUUCUAUCAGCAGGGAAGAUAAUGACGGUACCUGACUAAGAAGCCCCGGCUAACUACGUG
RNAcentral lists this ribosomal RNA (478 nucleotides) under uncultured bacterium. Its description in RNAcentral is "partial 16S ribosomal RNA". It matches the Rfam family "Bacterial small subunit ribosomal RNA", at positions 28 to 507 of the family's 1533-position model. The record is from RNAcentral.